GACGAACGCUGGCGGCGUGCUUAACACAUGCAAGUCGAACGCUGAAGCACCAGCUUGCUGGUGUGGAUGAGUGGCGAACGGGUGAGUAAUACGUGAGUAACCUGCCCUUGACUCUGGGAUAAGCCCGGGAAACUGGGUCUAAUACUGGAUGCUACAUGUCACCGCAUGGUGGUGUGUGGAAAGGGUUUACUGGUGUUGGAUGGGCUCACGGCCUAUCAGCUUGUUGGUGAGGUGAUGGCUCACCAAGGCGACGACGGGUAGCCGGCCUGAGAGGGUGACCGGCCACACUGGGACUGAGACACGGCCCAGACGCCGACGGGAGGCAGCAGGGGGGAAUAUUGCACAAUGGGCGAAAGCCUGAUGCAGCGACGCCGCGUGAGGGAUGACGGCCUUCGGGUUGUAAACCUCUUUCAGCAGGGAAGAAGCCACAAGUGACGGUACCUGCAGAAGAAGCGCCGGCUAACUACGUG
This 470-nucleotide ribosomal RNA is filed under the name uncultured bacterium. RNAcentral describes it as "partial 16S ribosomal RNA". It matches the Rfam family "Bacterial small subunit ribosomal RNA", at positions 28 to 507 of the family's 1533-position model. The record is from RNAcentral.